UGAGUGGGAAGAUGACUCCAGCUUGCAAAGGGCAGCCAAGGAUGACCAAAAGGAAGUGACUUUGUGUUUAUCAAACCACUUUGAUUGGCUCAAAAUAUCCAGGCCCCCAUCUGAAACCUACUCUCCUGUUAACAAAAUGUGAAAAUAAGCCCUUGUCUAAGGGCUUCCUUUGCCAAGCACAGUCCCGCAAGAAGAUCAUCUGUGUUGACUUCUGUGGAAUCACUCUGUGAUUGGUUUUGAGCAUGAAGCCGCACAGAAUCAGCCCUCCGAAGGAGGACUUCAAGAUCUUCGAAUUUCCUUCUGGCGCAUCCCUUACACGGUAACAAAAGGCAACAUGGCCCCCAGUCACCAACUCUCCCAUGUGCUGAGGAGAAAACGUCGGUACAAUUUAGC
This is a long non-coding RNA of Ailuropoda melanoleuca (giant panda), 393 nucleotides long. RefSeq lists it as uncharacterized. The record is from RefSeq and is a predicted model, not a curated record. The transcript has 3 exons. NCBI's taxonomy places the organism in Eukaryota, Metazoa, Chordata, Mammalia, Carnivora, Ursidae.